CAAAAUGGUCACAAUUAUGGUGGAGUAAUAACAAGCCUCACGAAUUUCUGGUGAUAAUCUCCUCAUAAAACCAGUGUUGUAUCCAUAACACUGAGACACCAUUCCCACAACGAAGCUGGCCGUACCCAAAAGGUUAUUUGUUACCGGGUCUAGCAUUUGGAAUAAAAUGUCGAUAAUGUACCAACGGAUAUGAUGCCGGUUAGUCCAUGCGUUGAUGAGAAAUGUGGUCUAUUUCUUAGUGCAUUACCAUGAUAACCGAAUCCGGACCAUAAAUUUUCACCAGCUAGGACCACAAUGCCCUCUCCCAUCAGUAGAACGUACUACGUUAACGAAAUAAGAAGAGAAUACAGAAUAAUAAAGAAUACUAAUAAAUUCUUGUACACUCUGUCUGUACUUACUCCAACGGAACACAGGAGAACAUGAAGAGACCAUACGCCGGUGCCCCAGGAAAUAUAAAUAAGGCUUAGUAAAACCGAUGUGUUCUCAACGCUCGUCUCGUCAGUAGCCAUGACGAAGAUGCAUCGAACUUAUACAGCAGUUGGUAAAUAUUAAUUAAUUAAUUAUUAAGUAAGAC
Molecule: long non-coding RNA, 574 nt
Organism: Cephus cinctus (wheat stem sawfly)
Lineage: Eukaryota; Metazoa; Arthropoda; Insecta; Hymenoptera; Cephidae
Exons: 4
Source: RefSeq, a predicted model, not a curated record